CCCUGGUUUAAUAAGGACUUGUUUAUUUUGAGGAAAAAAGGUCCCAAACAUCAGGCUGUUCACAAAAAUAACCCACAGUAUCAACUUUAGAAAACAAAUCUUAAGACUAUAACACUAAUUAUUUUUCUAGAGGAUGCAUUUGACAUGCCAACUCUCAUUCACAAAAAUACAUUGUUACAUUUGUGUUGAACUGCCCCACACAGCACACUAAUGUGGGGGUGUAACACACAUACUUCUAACUCAAAGCUGCUUUCAAGAGCUACUCAACUAAAUGAGAUUGCCUUUGCAGUUAGGGAAGCAACUACUGAACUUAUGUAUGAAUGAAAAGAACUGUACUCCCUGCAUAACAAGAGAUUAUUUUGGAGACAGUUGAUAAAAACCAUACAUCAUUUUUAUUGUUAAGUCAUAAAGAGGUAUCAAAAUUAAAAGCAAAAAUUACAGGGUAAGACUUAACAAAACUACUAGGAGCGUCAAAGGAAGUGAAAAUGGGACUAGGCGCGGGGCAAUAUGAAUUAAUUAAUGAACAUGGGAAGGACAAGGAUGGGGAAAACAGUGAGCAUGUGCUGAAGAUACUAGGGGAGAGGAUCUGGUGAAAAAUUUGAUCUUAGACAAGCGCCUAGGUAAAGAAAUAAUGGGAUAAGAUUUCUAAACCCCACUAUGUGCUUAAGAGUCAUCCUCGCCAUUGGCGCUGUCUCUGUCAUCCUCUCCUUCCUCAGCCUCUUUUUCAUCAUCCUUGAUCAACUCCAGCUGGUCAUCCCCCCAUCUUCAUUAUCAUCAUCAUCCAGUAGGUCCCCCUCCUCAGCAGAGUCAUCUGCACCCCCCUCAGACUCCAUCUUCACAUUAGUCUCAUCUUUCUUCACGGAGCUGCUGCUCUGCUCCUCUUCUGACUUAACAUUGUUCAUCUCUACUGCUUGUUUGCUCUGUUCCUUUUCAAUUUUUUCCAGGUUUUCCAGGAAAGAAUCCACUUUUUGUUUUAUCUGGGUCAGCUCCCUCUUAAUGGCCUGAAGGUCAUCUCCUUUCAACUUUCCAGACUUGGAAGAUCCCCGCUGUCCACUCUUAGAAUUGAAGCCACUUAUGCCCCUUUGUGAAGUGUUUCCUGAUACACGCUGACGUUUCGAGGGCACUACAGCCCGAGCAAUAGGAGGAGGAGGAGGUACACGUGCUGGGUAACUGUACAUCCUAUCAUAAUAGUCCCGUUGAAAGUCACAAUCCAAGUCAAAAGAGGAGCCGUACAUCUCCGCUGCAGAUCGUUUCACACCUGCUUUUCCUCGGUUCACUUUUGGCUCUGCAGCCAGGUUAAUAUCUAAAACCUGGCCAGCAAUCAUUCUGCCAUCCUCUCCUGCUACAGCAGCCCGGGCAUUUCUCUCAUUAACAUACUGAAAGAAGGCAAAGCCCUUAUGAACAGAGCAGCCCACAAUUUUGCCAUACUUCGAAAAGAUUGCCUCCACAUCAGAUUUCUUGACCACAAGAGUGUUGAGAUUCCCAAUGAAUACACGGGAGUUCAUGGAACGAGGAUCUGUCUUGUUGGUAACGUUGCUGGCCAUUGUGUUUGAUGCAGAAAUUCCGCUGAAAUGAUAGUUAAGGAAUCAUAAAGGUAUAAUUCCACAAAGACAAAGAAAAAAGAAAAAAGGUCUAUCAGUGGGUGAGAAAGUUCACAUUUCCUGAUGAUAUAAAGUAGAUGGAGGUGUAGCAAUUGACUUUGCACAACAGAAGGGGCCAGAAUAAGUUAUCCUGAUGAGAAGAAAGACAAUACACCCUGAAAAUCCUAGAAAGCAUUAACCCUUGAAGGCAUCAAGUACCGGAAGACAGGGAAUCUAGCGCUUCAGGAUUAUGUGCACUCUUGCUAAUCCAAGUGUUAUCCCUGAACCAGCAGCAUCAGCAUCACCAGAGAACUUGCUGGAAAUGCAGAAUAUCAGACUCUACCCCAGACCUACUUAAUCAGAGAAGCCCAGAGAGAUUCAUAUGCACAUUAAAGUUGGAGAAGUCCCAUACUCAUAUACUAGCAUAAACAGAGUAUCCUCAAACUCAUAACAAAGAAACCUACAAAACAUGAAGUACUGUCCUUUCAAUUUAGGGGCAGAGGAUUGGACAUUUUAUUUUAUUUUUUUAUGGGGGAAUACAGCUAAAACUGAAUUGCUUCAAUAAAGUCUUUGACAAUUUAAAAGCUGAAUGUGUGUGUGUGGCUGGGAAUCUUGUUUUCAUCUGGGAUCAAGAAUUAUUACUAUGUAUAUGGGGAAGUGUUUC
RNAcentral lists this long non-coding RNA (2244 nucleotides) under Homo sapiens (human). RNAcentral's name for it is "HSALNT0307908". Lineage: Eukaryota; Metazoa; Chordata; Mammalia; Primates; Hominidae. The record is from RNAcentral.